Triticum aestivum (bread wheat) is the source of this 481-nucleotide long non-coding RNA. RefSeq lists it as uncharacterized. The transcript is spliced from 3 exons. NCBI's taxonomy places the organism in Eukaryota, Viridiplantae, Streptophyta, Magnoliopsida, Poales, Poaceae. The record is from RefSeq and is a predicted model, not a curated record.
CAUCUCUCUCUCUCUCCAUGAUCUAUUCUUCUUCAUUAUCUCUCUCUCCCUAGAUGGAAGACAAAUCCAUCCACAAUCUCUUCCUCUCCAUUAUCUCCCUCGCCCUCACAGGAGAACAAAAUUGUUUAGAGCGGAAUCAAUUUUUGCCGUCUCCACGAAUUGGAUCCUGAAUCUUCUCACGUAUAAAUUUUGGAUGCUUUAUUGAGAUCAGGUCAGAGCACACGAACAAUGCCCAUCAUCGCUGCUCAAGAUUCUCCCACUCUGCAUGAAGUUUGUCUCUGGUCGGUUGCUGUCAUUGGGCAGGAUACACAUGCAUACACGGCGGACGCGGGAUUAACUCUAAUACCCUAGAGGGUAAACAAGUACUAAUCUUCAGAAUUUUGUGUCCAUAGCGAUUAAUCUUUUUGUAUUCCUUUAAUUUGUUAUAUUCAAGUUCUACAUUAUUUCUUUUUUGCAGUCUUUGGUUGAAAACAAUGGUCUG